AUUAAUAGUUAUAGUCUUUAAACUUAAAAAAAUUGGCGGUAUUUAAAUCUAAUUAGGGGAAUUUGUUUAUUAAAUGAUAAUCCUCAAGAAACCUUACUUUAAUUUAUUUAAUUUAUUUAUUGCCGUUAUCAGAUUAUUUUUUAAGAAUUAAAAAUUUUCUAAAUUUUUUAUUUAAUAAAAUUAUUUCAGGUCAUUAUGUAGUUUAUAUUAAAGUUUAGAUGAAUUACAAUAAAUUAUAUUUAUUAUGGAUUUAAUAUUGCAAUAUAUUAUUGAAAGUGGACUUAAUAGUAAAAAUAAAUUAUAAUUUUAUUUUGAAAUAAGAAUUAAAU
Molecule: ribosomal RNA, 329 nt
Filed under: Strongylogaster moiwana
Lineage: Eukaryota; Metazoa; Arthropoda; Insecta; Hymenoptera; Tenthredinidae
Description: partial 12S ribosomal RNA
Source: RNAcentral